UUAAGCGACUAAGCGUACACGGUGGAUGCCCUGGCAGUCAGAGGCGAUGAAGGACGUGCUAAUCUGCGAUAAGCGUCGGUAAGGUGAUAUGAACCGUUAUAACCGGCGAUUUCCGAAUGGGGAAACCCAGUGUGAUUCGUCACACUAUCAUUAACUGAAUCCAUAGGUUAAUGAGGCGAACCGGGGGAACUGAAACAUCUAAGUACCCCGAGGAAAAGAAAUCAACCGAGAUUCCCCCAGUAGCGGCGAGCGAACGGGGAGCAGCCCAGAGCCUGAAUCAGUAUGUGUGUUAGUGGAAGCGUCUGGAAAGGCGCGCGAUACAGGGUGACAGCCCCGUACACAAAAAUGCACAUGCUGUGAGCUCGAUGAGUAGGGCGGGACACGUGGUAUCCUGUCUGAAUAUGGGGGGACCAUCCUCCAAGGCUAAAUACUCCUGACUGACCGAUAGUGAACCAGUACCGUGAGGGAAAGGCGAAAAGAACCCCGGCGAGGGGAGUGAAAAAGAACCUGAAACCGUGUACGUACAAGCAGUGGGAGCACAGAGCAAUCUGUGUGACUGCGUACCUUUUGUAUAAUGGGUCAGCGACUUAUAUUCUGUAGCAAGGUUAACCGAAUAGGGGAGCCGAAGGGAAACCGAGUCUUAACUGGGCGUUAAGUUGCAGGGUAUAGACCCGAAACCCGGUGAUCUAGCCAUGGGCAGGUUGAAGGUUGGGUAACACUAACUGGAGGACCGAACCGACUAAUGUUGAAAAAUUAGCGGAUGACUUGUGGCUGGGGGUGAAAGGCCAAUCAAACCGGGAGAUAGCUGGUUCUCCCCGAAAGCUAUUUAGGUAGCGCCUCGUGAAUUCAUCUCCGGGGGUAGAGCACUGUUUCGGCAAGGGGGUCAUCCCGACUUACCAACCCGAUGCAAACUGCGAAUACCGGAGAAUGUUAUCACGGGAGACACACGGCGGGUGCUAACGUCCGUCGUGAAGAGGGAAACAACCCAGACCGCCAGCUAAGGUCCCAAAGUCAUGGUUAAGUGGGAAACGAUGUGGGAAGGCCCAGACAGCCAGGAUGUUGGCUUAGAAGCAGCCAUCAUUUAAAGAAAGCGUAAUAGCUCACUGGUCGAGUCGGCCUGCGCGGAAGAUGUAACGGGGCUAAACCAUGCACCGAAGCUGCGGCAGCGACGCUUAUGCGUUGUUGGGUAGGGGAGCGUUCUGUAAGCCUGUGAAGGUGUGCUGUGAGGCAUGCUGGAGGUAUCAGAAGUGCGAAUGCUGACAUAAGUAACGAUAAAGCGGGUGAAAAGCCCGCUCGCCGGAAGACCAAGGGUUCCUGUCCAACGUUAAUCGGGGCAGGGUGAGUCGACCCCUAAGGCGAGGCCGAAAGGCGUAGUCGAUGGGAAACAGGUUAAUAUUCCUGUACUUGGUGUUACUGCGAAGGGGGGACGGAGAAGGCUAUGUUGGCCGGGCGACGGUUGUCCCGGUUUAAGCGUGUAGGCUGGUUUUCCAGGCAAAUCCGGAAAAUCAAGGCUGAGGCGUGAUGACGAGGCACUACGGUGCUGAAGCAACAAAUGCCCUGCUUCCAGGAAAAGCCUCUAAGCAUCAGGUAACAUCAAAUCGUACCCCAAACCGACACAGGUGGUCAGGUAGAGAAUACCAAGGCGCUUGAGAGAACUCGGGUGAAGGAACUAGGCAAAAUGGUGCCGUAACUUCGGGAGAAGGCACGCUGAUAUGUAGGUGAAGUCCCUCGCGGAUGGAGCUGAAAUCAGUCGAAGAUACCAGCUGGCUGCAACUGUUUAUUAAAAACACAGCACUGUGCAAACACGAAAGUGGACGUAUACGGUGUGACGCCUGCCCGGUGCCGGAAGGUUAAUUGAUGGGGUCAGCGCAAGCGAAGCUCUUGAUCGAAGCCCCGGUAAACGGCGGCCGUAACUAUAACGGUCCUAAGGUAGCGAAAUUCCUUGUCGGGUAAGUUCCGACCUGCACGAAUGGCGUAAUGAUGGCCAGGCUGUCUCCACCCGAGACUCAGUGAAAUUGAACUCGCUGUGAAGAUGCAGUGUACCCGCGGCAAGACGGAAAGACCCCGUGAACCUUUACUAUAGCUUGACACUGAACAUUGAGCCUUGAUGUGUAGGAUAGGUGGGAGGCUUGGAAGUGUGGACGCCAGUCUGCAUGGAGCCGACCUUGAAAUACCACCCUUUAAUGUUUGAUGUUCUAACGUUGACCCGUAAUCCGGGUUGCGGACAGUGUCUGGUGGGUAGUUUGACUGGGGCGGUCUCCUCCUAAAGAGUAACGGAGGAGCACGAAGGUUGGCUAAUCCUGGUCGGACAUCAGGAGGUUAGUGCAAUGGCAUAAGCCAGCUUGACUGCGAGCGUGACGGCGCGAGCAGGUGCGAAAGCAGGUCAUAGUGAUCCGGUGGUUCUGAAUGGAAGGGCCAUCGCUCAACGGAUAAAAGGUACUCCGGGGAUAACAGGCUGAUACCGCCCAAGAGUUCAUAUCGACGGCGGUGUUUGGCACCUCGAUGUCGGCUCAUCACAUCCUGGGGCUGAAGUAGGUCCCAAGGGUAUGGCUGUUCGCCAUUUAAAGUGGUACGCGAGCUGGGUUUAGAACGUCGUGAGACAGUUCGGUCCCUAUCUGCCGUGGGCGCUGGAGAACUGAGGGGGGCUGCUCCUAGUACGAGAGGACCGGAGUGGACGCAUCACUGGUGUUCGGGUUGUCAUGCCAAUGGCACUGCCCGGUAGCUAAAUGCGGAAGAGAUAAGUGCUGAAAGCAUCUAAGCACGAAACUUGCCCCGAGAUGAGUUCUCCCUGACUCCUUGAGAGUCCUGAAGGAACGUUGAAGACGACGACGUUGAUAGGCCGGGUGUGUAAGCGCAGCGAUGCGUUGAGCUAACCGGUACUAAUGAGCCGUGAGGCUUAACCUU
Molecule: ribosomal RNA, 2904 nt
Filed under: Escherichia coli
Lineage: Bacteria; Pseudomonadati; Pseudomonadota; Gammaproteobacteria; Enterobacterales; Enterobacteriaceae
Description: bacterial LSU rRNA
Rfam family: Bacterial large subunit ribosomal RNA
Source: RNAcentral